AGUGAACGCUGGCGGUAGGCCUAACACAUGCAAGUCGAACGGCAGCACAGUAAGAGCUUGCUCUUACGGGUGGCGAGUGGCGGACGGGUGAGGAAUACAUCGGAAUCUACUUUUUCGUGGGGGAUAACGUAGGGAAACUUACGCUAAUACCGCAUACGACCUACGGGUGAAAGCAGGGGAUCUUCGGACCUUGCGCGAUUGAAUGAGCCGAUGUCGGAUUAGCUAGUUGGCGGGGUAAAGGCCCACCAAGGCGACGAUCCGUAGCUGGUCUGAGAGGAUGAUCAGCCACACUGGAACUGAGACACGGUCCAGACUCCUACGGGAGGCAGCAGUGGGGAAUAGUGGACAAUGGGCGCAAGCCUGAUCCAGCCAUACCGCGUGGGUGAAGAAGGCCUUCGGGUUGUAAAGCCCUUUUGUUGGGAAAGAAAAGCAGCAGGUUAAUACCCCGCUGUUCUGACGGUACCCAAAGAAUAAGCACCGGCUAACUUCGU
RNAcentral lists this ribosomal RNA (491 nucleotides) under uncultured bacterium. Its description in RNAcentral is "partial 16S ribosomal RNA". It matches the Rfam family "Bacterial small subunit ribosomal RNA", at positions 29 to 506 of the family's 1533-position model. The record is from RNAcentral.